UAGGACUGUGCUUGGCACAUAG
RNAcentral lists this microRNA (22 nucleotides) under Homo sapiens (human). Its description in RNAcentral is "hsa-miR-3169". Lineage: Eukaryota; Metazoa; Chordata; Mammalia; Primates; Hominidae. The record is from miRBase by way of RNAcentral.